Small nucleolar RNA from Acomys russatus (golden spiny mouse), 130 nucleotides. RefSeq annotates it as small nucleolar RNA SNORA17. The transcript has a single exon. NCBI's taxonomy places the organism in Eukaryota, Metazoa, Chordata, Mammalia, Rodentia, Muridae. The record is from RefSeq and is a predicted model, not a curated record.
CCUGCCCCUAGAAACCUUGCAGGUGUGACUGCUGAGUCACAUACGCUUCAGUGGCAGAGGGGAGAGAGGCUGUGUCAGUGACGUCAGUGCUCUGUUCUGUGAACAUCUGAAUGAUUAUUAGCCUAACAGU